CUUCCCCCUCUCCCAGAGCCUCAGCGAGCUGCGUCCAGGAGCUCCUGCCGCUUGGCUCGCCAGAGCUCGCAGCCCCACCUCCUUACCACGUGGCUCCGAGUAGGAGGACCUCAGGCCCUGCCUGAGCCAUGCCACUGCAGCGCUGUCCAGGGCUGCUCCUGGACGUGGUGCACUGAGGCGCUGGGGGAUGGGGGAAGGUGAAGGCAGAGGCAGGGGGGAGCCUCCGACAUUCUCGUGGGGGCCCCUGCGGGUCCCGGGGCAAAUUUCCCCACUUAACCCCCCCUCUGGGUGGCCCUGGCCUCUCGGGGUUUUCUGCAGUUUCAUACUGGAGAUCUGAGCAGUCAUAUUGUUCUCUUAUGUAAAAUGCAAUUCUCCUCACCUUUUCUACCUUGCCUGUCCUUCCUGAACAGUUUAUUUAAACAAUUAAAGACUAGUUAGGUAUACUCUCCCCACUUCCUCCCUAUUCCCCCACACCCACACACCACUUUCCCCCAAGUUUUCUGAUUAAUUAGUGGUCUUAUGUAGUGCAACUCUUCUGACCAUCUGAGUUGGCAGCAACAAGGGCUGGGUUCAGUAUCUAGGGGUUCCGUUUCAAUAAUGCAAUGCAAAACCAUCUCGAGCCCCCACCCCGUGACCUGGGACAAUUACAUACCACCCCCUGGGUGCCUGCAAGAGGCAAUACUUCCCCUCUUGCAAGCACGGAGUCUGAGUAUGGCAAAUCCUUUUAAUAAAGAAGGGAAACAGUGCGGCAUUAUGUUGGGGAAACACCACAAACAGGAUUCAUAACACUGACCAUGAGCAAAAGACCCACCCCCAAGUAAGUUUGGCAGUGUCCUUUUCCCCUCAGGGUCUUAAGUGCAACAACCCAAAAGAUCACCCCAAAGUCCCAAAAGUCCAACACCCCAAAAGUCUCUGUCCCUGGUCAGUGCAGCCCCAGAGUUCAAAAGUUUAUCUGCAGCGUCUUAUCCCCCCAGCCUGGGUAGAAAUGGGGGGGGACGGGGCACACAGGGUGUUAAGGGACACCUUACGUGGUCCGAGGCCAACUGCCCUGCCUCUCCAUGGGGUUCUGCUGCAGCCUUCACCACGAGCCACUCCACUCCACCAGCCAUCCCAUGAACCACUCCAGCCACCCCACAAACUGCUCCGCUCUGCUUUACCCCACUCAUUGUCCCAUGGGCUACUCCAACCACCCCACAAACUGCUCAGCUUUGCCAGCUGCUGAGCAAUAUAUCUUCAGGCUCCCCCAGCACUCACUGAUCUUAGUAAUUUUAGCUGUUUAGCACUUUCAGCUUGUAGUAGGGAAGCCCUAAUACUGGUGCACCAUUGGCGCAAAAUGAAUUCAACAUAGCAGCCUGUAACUGACCCAUAAUAGAAUCAAAAUUAGCUCUGCCAUUCAAUAAUGGAAAGGGAUGGGAUGCAAUUGGUGUUUCAGGCCCUGGGAGCCACACACAUACUAUCAACUACAAAUACCCAUCCCCAACCUUUGUCAAUUCACUGGGUUUUGGAACCCAUUUCCCUUGUCUAGCGAGUGCUACUUAGCUGAUGGUGAGUCCCUCUGUCAUAAAACAGUUCCACUGGCCUUGAUUCACAUAAUCAGGGUAACAACACUUUAUUCUUCCUGCUCCAAUAACAGAGGAACUGGGGAUCUCACAGAAGCCAAAGUGACCAUUUUGGGCUGUUGUGGGCUCAUGCUAGGCGGGAGUGGGUGUGCCUAUGCAAACAAGAUCAGCCCCUGAAGUUCUUUUCCACAACUCACCACAAUUCACCACCAGAUGUCAGGGUAAAGCUCAUCCUGACUCUGCUUACGUCACUCUUUCCCCUAAAUUAAGUUUGAGAGAUCCAGCUAUGCUUUUCUUUAAAGUACUUUCUCUAUUUAUUUUGAAAUCUAGGAAGUGAUCCAUUCUAUAAUGGAACCCCAGCUAAAGCCUAUUUUAGGCCAUGAUUCCAGAAAGCACUUAUGUCCCAGUCGUGCAAAAACUUGCUCGCAUGCUGCUUAAUUUUGAGCACUAGACCCUGAGAGCGUCAGUAACUUCCUUCCUGGCUGAGAUGAUAUUUCAGAGACGUUCACCUGUACUAUGAGGUCAGUAACGAGGGGCUCUCCUCCUGCACUAUCUCUGAUGCAGCCACAUAUACUGAUUCUGAAGAGACAUGAAGUCACGCAGGAGCUGCUGAUCUGUCCUGCUCUUCCUCGGUUUCUCCCAUGCUCUUCUCAUUGACAUUCCUCAGGAUUCAGUCAAUGGAACUGUCGGUCAUUCUGUCCUUCUGCCCGUCUCCUAUAGGCUCCAGCGGCCAUUUCCCUUUCCUCUGUCCAUUCAGUGGAAUUUCAGACACUCUCCUAAUUCAUUCACCAGCUACACAGCGACUAACUGUUCUGUCAGAGCUGAGGGGAUUCCCACCCGCUACUCUGGAUAUAAUUAUACACAUCCCGCAUACCAAGGCCGGACUGUAGUUUUCCCUGAAAAUGCUUCUCUGCUCCUUCAGAACCUGCAGAUCAAUGACAGUGGAGUCUACAGCGUCACCUUCAAAGCACCACAGCAAACCAGACACAUCAUAUUAACUGUAUCUGAACCUCAUUUCAACCAUGGAAAGGCAGA
Long non-coding RNA from Malaclemys terrapin pileata, 2594 nucleotides. RefSeq lists it as uncharacterized. Lineage: Eukaryota; Metazoa; Chordata; Testudines; Emydidae. The transcript has 3 exons. The record is from RefSeq and is a predicted model, not a curated record.